AAAUUGAACAAUAUGCGGACAAUGAUCCAGCUGCCUUUGAAGCAAUGAACUGCUUCUUUUAGUUGUUUGACAGCAGCUUUCACUAUCUCACCAUCCUCAACGCAAGUUAAAGAAGUGCUUCUUAAAGAGAUGAAUGAAGGUUUUAUUGAGGCUGAAAAGAAGCCAGGUGUUCUUCUUACUUUGUUUCAUUACUUGGAAAAAGUAAACAAUCACACAGUAUGCUUAGAGGCUCUCCAGGUAACCUAUUUGUUAGUUUGGAAAUACCAUGCUUUAUGGUUGUCAGAAAUUAUUCUCUUGUCAAGAAUCUAGGCAUUGCUUGAAUUACUCUGUAUUUGGAAUCUUGGAUUUACUAUUUGUAUGCCUGUGUGGAUGUAUCAGGUUUUCAAUGGUGGAAUUAGCUAUUUUUUGCUAUAGAUAUUAUAUAAUUCUUCAUGUAAAACUUCUUUGUGCACGUUUUAACUUUUUUCUUUUUUUGUAUUUUUUUCGUUAAAUAUUAUUAUUAUUACUUUUAUUAUAAAAAUUUCUCCCUCAGCAUGACAUUGUUUCUGCUGAUCAAUUUGUUUUUCUUCUAUACUAUUUAGUGAGCUUCCUUGCAAAUCUUGGUGGCUUGUAUUGCAUCAGUAUUGGCAUUUUUUUUCUUCUUACUAGUUCAAUGUGAAUGUAGAAUAAAAAAGCUUCGCCAUGAAGAUAGCACAUUAAGAAUGAUUAGAAAUCGGCAAAAAACACUACAACGCUAGGAAAAGGUAACACUUUCUUGAGGAUGAAAUUUUAUGUAUCUAUUUAUUUUGUGGUGUGGUUUUAAUCCAAUUAAACUUACUCAUAUGUUUGUUUUGAUUA
This is a long non-coding RNA of Humulus lupulus (European hop), 837 nucleotides long. RefSeq lists it as uncharacterized. The record is from RefSeq and is a predicted model, not a curated record. The transcript has 4 exons. NCBI's taxonomy places the organism in Eukaryota, Viridiplantae, Streptophyta, Magnoliopsida, Rosales, Cannabaceae.